This 203-nucleotide long non-coding RNA is filed under the name Lathyrus oleraceus (garden pea). RNAcentral describes it as "Pisum sativum (pea) long non-coding RNA (PSAT_LNC021095)". Lineage: Eukaryota; Viridiplantae; Streptophyta; Magnoliopsida; Fabales; Fabaceae. The record is from RNAcentral.
UUCACAAGAUCGGUAUUGUUUUAACACCGUAAGUCUCCUGCAUAUGGAAAAUGAGUUGAAUUUUUAUUAUGUUUUAGCCUUACAUUCUCAUCCUCUGACAGCUCUUGAGUAGUUUAUUUCAGCAGUCAGCACCAUCUCACACGCACUCUACGCAGGGAAGCUGAUGAAUAUAAGUGAGUGUUCCGAAAAAGAAAAAAAAAGAG